This 45-nucleotide non-coding RNA is filed under the name Trichobilharzia regenti. The record is from RNAcentral. Lineage: Eukaryota; Metazoa; Platyhelminthes; Trematoda; Strigeidida; Schistosomatidae.
ACCUAACUGACGAGCCCAAAAUAGGACGAAACAUUCCUCCUAGAU